This 208-nucleotide ribosomal RNA is filed under the name uncultured Chitinophagaceae bacterium. Its description in RNAcentral is "partial 16S ribosomal RNA". It matches the Rfam family "Bacterial small subunit ribosomal RNA", at positions 568 to 774 of the family's 1533-position model. The record is from RNAcentral. Lineage: Bacteria; Pseudomonadati; Bacteroidota; Chitinophagia; Chitinophagales; Chitinophagaceae.
UGCGUAGGCGGGUUUGUAAGUCAGUGGUGAAAUCUUCGAGCUUAACUCGGAAACUGCCGUUGAUACUACAGGUCUUGAAUACCCGGGAGGUGAGCGGAAUAUGUCAUGUAGCGGUGAAAUGCUUAGAUAUGACAUAGAACACCAAUUGCGAAGGCAGCUCACUACAGGGACAAUUGACGCUGAGGCACGAAAGCGUGGGGAUCAAACA